Molecule: ribosomal RNA, 450 nt
Filed under: uncultured bacterium
Lineage: Bacteria
Description: SSU rRNA
Rfam family: Bacterial small subunit ribosomal RNA
Source: RNAcentral
AGGAUGAACGCUGGCGGUCUGCUUAACACAUGCAAGUCGAACGGAGUACCUCGGUACUUAGUGGCGGACGGGUGAGUAACGCGUGAGAAUCUGCCCUUAGGUCGGGGACAACCAUUGGAAACGAUGGCUAAUACCGGAUAAGCCGAGAGGUAAAAGAUUAAUUGCCUAGGGAAGAGCUCGCGUCUGAUUAGCUAGUUGGUGAGGUAAAGGCUCACCAAGGCAUCGAUCAGUAGCUGGUCUGAGAGGAUGAUCAGCCACACUGGGACUGAGACACGGCCCAGACUCCUACGGGAGGCAGCAGUGGGGAAUUUUCCACAAUGGGCGAAAGCCUGACGGAGCAAGACCGCGUGAGGGAGGAAGGCUCUUGGGUUGUAAACCUCUUUUCUUGGGGAAGAACAAAAUGACGGUACCCAAGGAAUCAGCAUCGGCUAACUCCGUGCCAGCAGCCGC